Molecule: ribosomal RNA, 325 nt
Filed under: uncultured bacterium
Lineage: Bacteria
Description: bacterial SSU rRNA
Rfam family: Bacterial small subunit ribosomal RNA
Source: RNAcentral
AUUGAACGCUGGCGGCAUGCCUUACACAUGCAAGUCGAACGGCAGCACGGGAGCUUGCUCCUGGUGGCGAGUGGCGAACGGGUGAGUAAUACAUCGGAACGUACCCUGAAGUGGGGGAUAACGUAGCGAAAGUUACGCUAAUACCGCAUAUUCUGUGAGCAGGAAAGAGGGGGAUCGCAAGACCUCUUGCUUUAGGAGCGGCCGAUGUCGGAUUAGCUAGUUGGUGAGGUAAGGCUCACCCAAGGCGACGAUCCGUAGCGGGUCUGAGAGGAUGAUCGCCACACUGGGACUGAGACACGGGCCCAGACUCCUACGGGAGGCAGCA